GACGAACGCUGGCGGCGUGCUUAACACAUGCAAGUCGAACGGAAAGUCCCUGCUUUUGUGGGGUGCUCGAGUGGCGAACGGGUGAGUAACACGUGAGUAACCUGCCCUUGACUUUGGGAUAACUUCAGGAAACUGGGGCUAAUACCGGAUAGGAGCUCCUGCUGCAUGGUGGGGGUUGGAAAGUUUCGGCGGUUGGGGAUGGACUCGCGGCUUAUCAGCUUGUUGGUGGGGUAGUGGCUUACCAAGGCUUUGACGGGUAGCCGGCCUGAGAGGGUGACCGGCCACAUUGGGCCUGAGAUACGGCCCAGACUCCUACGGGAGGCAGCAGUGGGGAAUAUUGCACAAUGGGCGGAAGCCUGAUGCAGCAACGCCGCGUGCGGGAUGACGGCCUUCGGGUUGUAAACCGCUUUCGCCUGUGACGAAGCGUGAGUGACGGUAAUGGGUAAAGAAGCACCGGCUAACUACGU
Molecule: ribosomal RNA, 467 nt
Filed under: uncultured bacterium
Lineage: Bacteria
Description: partial 16S ribosomal RNA
Rfam family: Bacterial small subunit ribosomal RNA
Source: RNAcentral